GAAGGCUGGGAAGAGGUCUGGCAAAAGCACGGCAAAUGGUUUGAUCCACUCGUACAUCCAUGCCGGCUCCAAGUUAGGUAUAAUGCUGGAAGUCAAUU
RNAcentral lists this small nuclear RNA (98 nucleotides) under Karenia brevis. RNAcentral's name for it is "partial Dictyostelium signal recognition particle". The record is from RNAcentral. Lineage: Eukaryota; Dinophyceae; Gymnodiniales; Kareniaceae.